This 593-nucleotide long non-coding RNA is filed under the name Homo sapiens (human). Its description in RNAcentral is "HSALNT0006101". The record is from RNAcentral. Lineage: Eukaryota; Metazoa; Chordata; Mammalia; Primates; Hominidae.
CUGAGCUCCCGAGUAGAAUUGUGUAGCUCGUUCCUCAUUCUCCGGCACUUAUUGCCCCCCCAGGGUUCUUCAGGGCCUUUAGAGAGGUUUGGGCAAGAGCUGGGCGCCAUACCUCCAUUAGACAGACGGGGAAACUGAGAGCGGCAGCUUUGGUUUGCACCCCUCCUCACCUGGUAUCUGUCUGAAUGGUGGAGGUCAUCGGUGGCAGAUGAGUGGGGUGAUGCCGUUGGAGACUCUCCUUCCCUCUUGAUGGAAGCAGACAACAGGAGGGACUGGAAGAAGAAAUCCAGCCUGUACAGCUCUGAGCCGGAAGCACACAGUUCCCUAGGAGUCUUCCCCAGCUUAGAAAACCAUGCCAAAUCGCCAGUGACAGCCCAAAGAAAGCAAUUUGGGAAAGAUGGAGCAGCCAUUUAUCCUUCAUCUCCGGCUGAGCCUUAGGAUGUGACCCGCAUGCGGUGGCCAUGCUGCACAUCCUCAGGCAAGGGCCCGGUUAGAAGCCCUGAGAGGCCUCGGCAUUACACCUGGGGCAAGCGGAAUAAAAAAAGGUCACUGGUGCUUUUUAAACAUGGACCAAAAAGCAGUAAAAUGUGUUU